AUUGAACGCUGGCGGCAUGCUUUACACAUGCAAGUCGAACGGUAACAGGCCGCAAGGUGCUGACGAGUGGCGAACGGGUGAGUAAUGCAUCGGAACGUGCCCAGUCGUGGGGGAUAACUACCCGAAAGAGUAGCUAAUACCGCAUACGAUCUAUGGAUGAAAGCGGGGGACCGUAAGGCCUCGCGCGAUUGGAGCGGCCGAUGUCAGAUUAGGUAGUUGGUGGGGUAAAGGCUCACCAAGCCAACGAUCUGUAGCUGGUCUGAGAGGACGACCAGCCACACUGGGACUGAGACACGGCCCAGACUCCUACGGGAGGCAGCAGUGGGGAAUUUUGGACAAAGGGCGCAAGCCUGAUCCAGCAAUGCCGCGUGCAGGAAGAAGGCCUUCGGGUUGUAAACUGCCUUUGUACGGAACGAAACGGCUCUGGUUAAUACCCGGGGCUAAUGACGGUACCGUAAGAAUAAGCACCGGCUAACUACGUG
This 482-nucleotide ribosomal RNA is filed under the name uncultured bacterium. Its description in RNAcentral is "partial 16S ribosomal RNA". It matches the Rfam family "Bacterial small subunit ribosomal RNA", at positions 30 to 507 of the family's 1533-position model. The record is from RNAcentral.